AGUAAUAUAUCGGAACGUGCCCAGUAGUGGGGGAUAGCCCGGCGAAAGCCGGAUUAAUACCGCAUACGACCUACGGGUGAAAGCGGGGGAUCGCAAGACCUCGCGCCAUUGGAGCGGCCGAUAUCAGAUUAGCUAGUUGGUGGGGUAAAAGCUCACCAAGGCGACGAUCUGUAGCUGGUCUGAGAGGACGACCAGCCACACUGGGACUGAGACACGGCCCAG
This 222-nucleotide ribosomal RNA is filed under the name uncultured bacterium. RNAcentral describes it as "partial 16S ribosomal RNA". It matches the Rfam family "Bacterial small subunit ribosomal RNA", at positions 109 to 334 of the family's 1533-position model. The record is from RNAcentral.